RNAcentral lists this non-coding RNA (20 nucleotides) under Rattus norvegicus (Norway rat). Lineage: Eukaryota; Metazoa; Chordata; Mammalia; Rodentia; Muridae. The record is from RNAcentral.
CUGCAGUGAUGACUUUCUUA